Molecule: ribosomal RNA, 253 nt
Filed under: uncultured bacterium
Lineage: Bacteria
Description: partial 16S ribosomal RNA
Rfam family: Bacterial small subunit ribosomal RNA
Source: RNAcentral
UACGUAGGGAGCAAGCGUUGUCCGGAUUUAUUGGGCGUAAAGCGCACGCAGGCGGUUUAGUCAGUCUCUACUGACAGUGUCCGGCUCAACCGGGCAAGUGGUAGGGAAACUGCUAAACUUGAGGGCUUCAGAGGGAUGGGGAACUCCAGGUGGAGUGGUGAAAUGCGUAGAUAUCAAGAGGAACACCAGUGGCGAAGGCGAGUCCCUGGACGAUACCUGACACUGAGGCACGAAAGCCAAGGGAGCAAACAGG